GUGUAUGCCAUACCACACCUGAUCUUGUCUGAUCUUGCCUGAUCUUGUAAGCUAAGCAUGGCCGAGCCUAGUUAGUACUUGGAUGGGAGACUGCCUGGCAAUACUGGAUGCUGUAGGCU
RNAcentral lists this ribosomal RNA (119 nucleotides) under Castor canadensis (American beaver). The record is from RNAcentral. Lineage: Eukaryota; Metazoa; Chordata; Mammalia; Rodentia; Castoridae.